UUAUUAUUCUUUUUGUAGCAUUAUUUUCAUCGCGACGAAUUUAUUGGCAGAAUAAACGAAAUUGUUUAUUUCCUUCCUUUCUCACGUAGCGAGUUACAGAAACUCGUUGAGCAAGAACUGAUAGUUUGGCAAAAAAGAGCCAUGGAAAGACAUCAGAUUAAGUUGACAUGGGAUAGAGAAGUCCUUGAUGUCGUUUCUGAUGGCUACAAUGUUAAGUAUGGAGCUAGAUCAAUUCAUCACGAAGUUGAGAGAACGGUUGUUAAUCAGUUGGCUCUAGCUUAUGAGAAGGAAUACAUCAGCAAAGGAAGUUCAGUUCAUUUGAUUGUAAAGAAAGAAGGCAAUGAAGGAAGAGGACCACUUGUAUCUAUAAAAGUUUUAAAUGAUAAAAACUCACUGGGAACUAAACAAACAAAAUCUUUAGCUAAGUCAAUACUUCCUUUUAGUCAAUGACUGUUAGCUUUGAAUAAUAACAAAUCCUUUAAUUAAACC
Amphimedon queenslandica is the source of this 489-nucleotide long non-coding RNA. RefSeq lists it as uncharacterized. NCBI's taxonomy places the organism in Eukaryota, Metazoa, Porifera, Demospongiae, Haplosclerida, Niphatidae. The transcript is spliced from 3 exons. The record is from RefSeq and is a predicted model, not a curated record.